AGCCCCGUGGUGAAAAUAUCACGUUGGAUUGCAAAUCCAGAGAUGCAGAGUAAUACCGGCCGGGGCUU
RNAcentral lists this transfer RNA (68 nucleotides) under Hemitremia flammea. Its description in RNAcentral is "tRNA-Cys". It matches the Rfam family "tRNA". From Rfam's summary of the family: Transfer RNA (tRNA) molecules are approximately 80 nucleotides in length. Their secondary structure includes four short double-helical elements and three loops (D, anti-codon, and T loops). Lineage: Eukaryota; Metazoa; Chordata; Actinopteri; Cypriniformes; Leuciscidae. The record is from RNAcentral.